UACGAAGGGUGCAAGCGUUACUCGGAAUUACUGGGCGUAAAGCGUGCGUAGGCGGUUUUGUCGCGUCUGCCGUGAAAAGUCCGGGGGCUCAACUCCGGAUCUGCGGUGGGUACGGGGCAGACUAGAGUGAUGUAGGGGGAGACUGGAAUUCCUGGUGUAGCGGUGAAAAUGCGCAGAUAUCAGGAGGAACACCGAUGGCGAAGGCAGGUCUCUGGGCAUUAACUGACGCUGAGGAGCGAAAAGCAUGGGGGAGCGAACAGG
This 261-nucleotide ribosomal RNA is filed under the name uncultured bacterium. RNAcentral's name for it is "partial 16S ribosomal RNA". It matches the Rfam family "Bacterial small subunit ribosomal RNA", at positions 524 to 776 of the family's 1533-position model. The record is from RNAcentral.